Molecule: ribosomal RNA, 738 nt
Filed under: Triticum aestivum (bread wheat)
Lineage: Eukaryota; Viridiplantae; Streptophyta; Magnoliopsida; Poales; Poaceae
Description: partial small subunit ribosomal RNA
Source: RNAcentral
AUGCAUAAUGUUGUCCAUAUUGACGAGAAGUGGUUCAACAUGACCAAGAAGAAUAGAACCUAUUAUCUGCUGGACGGGGAGGAAGAGCCUACAAGGCCUAUACAUGGCAACUGUAUUGGAAAGGUGAUGUUCUUGACGGCCGUUGCUAGGUCGAGGUGGGACAGUGAAGGAAACGUGACCUUCUCUAGGAAAAUCGGUAUCUGGCCAUUCGUGAAAGAAGUUCCUGCUCAAAGGAGAAGCGACAACAGGCCUAGAGGUACAAUAGAGACAAAAUCAAUAAAGGUCGACAGAAAAGUGAUGAGGGAGUUCCUGAUAGAGAAGGUCUUGCCAGCAAUACAAGCUGUUUGGCCUGAAGGCGAUGCUGGACAAACCAUCUACAUUCAGCAGGAUAAUGCUAAGCCCCAUAUCUUGCCAGAUGAUCAGGAAUUUCUAGAAGCUGUCGCAAAAACUGGACUUGACAUCAGAAUAAUACAACAGCCUCCCAACAGUCCUGAUUUGAAUGUGCUUGACCUUGGGUUUUUCAACUCGCUCCAAUCCCUGACAGAUUGUCUGAGUCCUAAAACACUACAAGACCUUAUUAAGGGUGUUUUGGAGGAAUUUGAAGGCUAUGAUGUUUACAAGCUCAACAGAAUUUUCCUAACUCUGCAGACGUGCAUGAUUGAGAUCCUAAACCAUGCAGGGGGCAAUGGGGAUAAAAUACCCCAUGUAAACAAGGAAAGGCUUGAGGGGAUUGGCUAA